This 610-nucleotide ribosomal RNA is filed under the name uncultured Alphaproteobacteria bacterium. Its description in RNAcentral is "bacterial SSU rRNA". It matches the Rfam family "Bacterial small subunit ribosomal RNA", at positions 126 to 768 of the family's 1533-position model. Lineage: Bacteria; Pseudomonadati; Pseudomonadota; Alphaproteobacteria. The record is from RNAcentral.
CUUCCCUUUGGUUCGGAAUAACAAGAGGAAACUUUUGCUAAUACCGGAUAAGUCUUUACGGAGAAAGCUUUAUGCGCCAUUGGAUGAGCCUGCACUUGAUUAGUUAGUUGGUGGGGUAAAGGCCUACCAAGACAAUGAUCAAUAGCUGAUUUGAGAGGAUGAUCAGCCACAUUGGGACUGAGACACGGCCCAAACUCCUACGGGAGGCAGCAGUAGGGAAUCUUGCACAAUGGGGGAAACCCUGAUGCAGCGAUGCCGCGUGAGUGAAGAAGGCCUUUGGGUUGUAAAGCUCUUUCGUCGGGGAAGAAAAUGACUGUACCCGAAUAAGAAGGUCCGGCUAACUUCGUGCCAGCAGCCGCGGUAAUACGAAGGGACCUAGCGUAGUUCGGAAUUACUGGGCUUAAAGAGUUCGUAGGUGGUUAAAAAAGUUGGUGGUGAAAUCCCAGAGCUUAACUCUGGAACUGCCAUCAAAACUUUUUAGCUAGAGUAUGAUAGAGGAAAGCAGAAUUUCUAGUGUAGAGGUGAAAUUCGUAGAUAUUAGAAAGAAUACCGAUUGCGAAAGGCAGCUUUCUGGAUCAUUACUGACACUGAGGAACGAAAGCAUGGGUAG